AGUGAACGCUGGCGGUAUGCCUAACACAUGCAAGUCGAACGGCAGCACAGUAAGAGCUUUCUCUUACGGGUGGCGAGUGACGGACGGGUGAGGAAUACAUCGGAAUCUACUUUUUCUUGGGUGAUUACGUAGGGAAACUUACGCUACUACCGAAUACGUCCUACGGCUUAAAUCAGGAGAUCUUCGGACCUUGCGUGAUUGUUUGAGCCGAUGUCGGAUUAGCUAGUUGGCGAGGUAAAGGCCCACCAAGGCAACGAUCCGUAGCUGGUCUGAGAGGAUGAUCAGCCACACUGGAACUGAGACACGGUCCAGACUCCUACGGGAGGCAGCAGUAGGGAAUAUUGGACAAUGGGCGCAAGCCUGAUCGAGCCAUACCGCGUGAGUGAAGAAGGCCUUCGGGUUGUAAAGCUCUGUUGUUAGGAAAGAAAAGCAGCAGAAGAAUACCCCGAUGUUCUGACGGUACCCAAAGAGUAAGCAACGGCUAACUUCGUG
RNAcentral lists this ribosomal RNA (492 nucleotides) under uncultured bacterium. Its description in RNAcentral is "partial 16S ribosomal RNA". It matches the Rfam family "Bacterial small subunit ribosomal RNA", at positions 29 to 507 of the family's 1533-position model. The record is from RNAcentral.